Parasteatoda tepidariorum (common house spider) is the source of this 1799-nucleotide non-coding RNA. NCBI's taxonomy places the organism in Eukaryota, Metazoa, Arthropoda, Arachnida, Araneae, Theridiidae. The record is from RefSeq and is a predicted model, not a curated record.
GAUGAGAUUUAAGAUAUUUGACUCUUUCACAACACAUUAUAAUAACAUUAUUUGUACUUUACAAUGUGUUUUGUGUUGCAAAUAUUUUAAUUAUUGACUUGCUAAAAUGUGUAACUCAGAGGCUAAAUAACAGAAAUAUAAGUUGGCCUGUUUCUCCACUGGCUGUGAUCGAAAAAAAAUAUAACAUUAAAUUAUAGCUUACAUAGUACUAUAGUUAAAAUCUCUGCAAUGCGUUAAAAAGCCAUAAGCUCAUAAUUUUGCAGCAUAAAGCUCAAAAAUUAUUAUAGCUCUUGCAUAAAAUAAACAAAUACAAAUGACUGCUGUGGAAGCCGUAAUAAAGUCUUUAUACUUUACUAUGGCUUUUAAGCCGUAAUUAUAUAAUUGAACUCACAAGCAUGCAGAGAAUAAGUGAAACAAAAUAAAUAAUAAUUUUGGUUAAGACAGCUUUUAUGGCAAAAGCGAAAUCUUAAAACUGCAUUGAUUAAUAAUAACUCCGCUUUAUUAUGAACUUCACAAAAGCGGAAAAUACGAAGAUUUGUUUAGUGCGGAAAAGAUAAUUUUGAACAUGGGUUGAAGAAUUUUCGCCGACAAAUGUUAACACAAUUCUACAAAAUGUAAUGCAUUGAAACAAGGAACAGCACAAAGAACAGGGAUAAUUGUUUGUGGACACAAGAACAAGCAUUUUUAUUUCACCUUCAAGUUUGACUGUUUUAAACUUUACUUAUCAAUGAGAUUAUAAUAAUUUUAAAUUUUAAAGUGACCUCCCUUUUUCCUGAAGUUGCUUUGUAGUCCAUGGGGACUCAAUACAGCAUUAAAAGAUUAUCAUUAGUGUCCACUGGAAUGAUAUGGAAGUUUCUAAAAGUUUAACAGAAGAUUAAUGGAAAAAGUAUGAAUAAAAUAAUGUAAAGAAUUCACCUAUGGCUGGUGGGCCAAAAGUGGCUUAUAGCAUUCUCAAUUUAGCUCCUGAACUGUCUUAAAUAAAAAAUACUAAGAAAAUAAGAAUACCAGAAAAAAUAUUUUUCCAGCUGUAUUCUGCAUCAUUUACUGAUAUAAUUUGUAAUUUGUCUCUAAUAAUUGGAUUGCAACAAUUUUGUUUUCAAAGUCUUGUUUAUUAUGAUUUCAAAUAUUGAAAAACAUAUAAAAAUAAUUAUAGGUGAGGCCAUCACAUUCGUCUCAUACUGAUUAGUAACAAUUUUCAAUUUUUUUUAUUAAUAGUUUGAAGUAAAUGAAUAUUUUAAUUUCCUGUUUUUUUCUUUUUUUUUCAACUUUUUGCCCUCCUAUGAAUUUGUUAUAAUUGUUGUUUUUUUAUCUACUAUUCAAAAAUGGUUUUUCAUUCAUGGUACUUGAAAAUUAAUUUUUUGGCAUAAAUUAUUUUUAAUAUUUUUUUUUUUUAUAAAUGUUAUCGAUGGCCACUUGUAACACGCAGUUAAAUAAAACAGUUAUUGAGUAAACUUUUUUAUAUUGUUCUUACUCAAAAAAAUAUCAAGUUUAAUACUUUAAAAAUACUUCUUUGAUCUCUUAAUUAAUUUGUAUUAAAAAACAAGUUCAAUAAUAAGUUUUGAGUAAAAAAUAAGUUUUAAGUAAGUUUAAUUUUAAGAAUAUAUUUCUAUAGGAAUCUCAUAGCUUUUAAUUUAGACAUGCAAGUUUUUUCCAUCAUUCAUACAUUUUUUGUUUGUUUAUUUUUUUUUAAAUAUAAAAAUAUUUUUGAGCAGUAUUCUAGUUGAUUCAAUAAAAGCUUAUGUAAAAAAUGUUUGCUUGGAAAAUAUUGAAUUCCUCAUUAAAUCAUGUUCAUAGUUUAA